GACUACCGGGGUAUCUAAUCCCGUUUGCUCCCCUGGCUUUCGCUCCUCAGCGUCAGUAUCGGUCCAGGAUGCCGCCUUCGCCACCGGUGUUCCUCCAGAUAUCUACGCAUUUCACCGCUACACCUGGAAUUCCGCAUCCCUCUCCCGAACUCAAGCCAUCCAGUAUCAGACGCAGUUCCCCGGUUAAGCCGAGGGAUUUCACGUAUGACUUAGUUGGCCGCCUACGAGCCCUUUACGCCCAGUAAUUCCGAACAACGCUUGCCCCCCCCGUAUUACCGCGGCUGCUGGCACGGAGUUAGCCGGGGCUUCUUCUCUCGGUACCGUCACUCCCUCAGGAUGUUAGCCCAAGGGCCAUUCGUCUCGAUCGAAAGGAGUUUACAACCCGAAGAUCUUCAUCCUCCACGCGGCGUUGCGUCGUCAGGCUUGCGCCCAUUGCGAAAAAUUCCCCACUGCAGCCACCCGUAGG
Molecule: ribosomal RNA, 466 nt
Filed under: uncultured Acidobacteriota bacterium
Lineage: Bacteria; Pseudomonadati; Acidobacteriota
Description: uncultured Acidobacteria bacterium partial 16S ribosomal RNA
Source: RNAcentral